GGAGCUCUUAGGAAGGUUACCCUAAUGUUCGACUAGCCCUUCCUGAGUGCCUGAGGCUGGAGACAGCAGCCACUUCUGCCUCACCAGCUACUCUCCGUUUAUAACCCCUUCACUUGAAGUACCAGAGUUCAGAGGGAAUCAGUUAUGAACCAAGAGGGAAAGCAUGGUUGGAAAGAAAAGCUCAGCGUCUCACGCUCUCAUCAAUUCUUUCAAAAACUGAGUUAAGGGUGCUGCCAAGCCCUUGCCUUUGCUACCUCAGUGUUUCUACUUGUUAAAGGAUGAUGAAGAUGCUAGUAACUCUGGGAACAAACAUGGAAUGCAUAUCAACCGGCCACUAAAUAAAACAGAUUUCAGAUGCGAAUAGAAACAAAAAAGCUGGGGAAGUACGAAGAGUUUUAAGGAUAAAAAAAAACCUAAAAAGAUAAUCCUUUUAAGAAGCUGAUUUUUUUUCUUAGUCAUUCCAGAAGUAAGAGGGACAGGGUAAUACCGCCAAUGCUUAACUCCAAAAUAGAUAAAAGAUUUUUUUAAAAAGAGAGAGGCUGCUCUAUUGAGGAAAAAAGCCCUGAAAUAACCUAUCACUGGUGUUCAGAAGUCACAAGGUCAUCAUUCAUCUUUAUAAAAGGAGACACUGAACAAAGAUGAAUAAGGUUAUGGUCGAAGAAGAAGGCAAUGGAGAAGGCGAUGGCACCCCAUUCCAGUACUCUUGCCUGGAAAAUCCCAUGAACCGAGGAGCCUGGUGGGCUGCAGUCCAUGGGGUCUCGAAGAGUUGGACACGACUGAAGCAACUUAGCAGCAGCAGCAGCAGCAGCUUAUAGUAAUGCUCAACUAAAGUGAGAAGAAAGCUCUGGCAAAAAAACUUUCUUCCUCUUUCUCCUCAACAUCAGUCUCAACAGUCUUUGGGUAACUGAGACUCAUGUUUCAAAGAGCAUGGGGCCGAUCUUAGAUUGGUUGUGAUUCUUCUCAUUAUCACAGACAGUAAUUGUGCCUCUCCUUUGAAAUAAUUCAUGCCCAGGCCUGAUGAGUUUGCCCUCUUUACAUAUUCAUAGCUUUUUGUUGAUUUAUUGUAUGUAGCUGUAUCUUUUCCAGUUUAAAAAGAUCAUUUUCAGAAAGAUAAGCAGUGGUUUCUUAAUGAUGAUAUUUGAUUAACCCCAAUAAAUGAUUCAGCAAAGUGUUGGCUUUUAAAGAU
This 1186-nucleotide long non-coding RNA is filed under the name Bos indicus x Bos taurus (hybrid cattle). RNAcentral's name for it is "lncRNA (ENSBIXG00005028958.1)". The record is from RNAcentral. Lineage: Eukaryota; Metazoa; Chordata; Mammalia; Artiodactyla; Bovidae.